GACGGAAGGUGCAAGCGUUGCUCGGAAUCACUGGGCGUAAAGGGUGCGUAGGCGGCCGUGCAAGUCUGGCGUGAAAGCCCCGGGCUCAGCCCGGGAAGUGCGCUCGAAACUGCGCGGCUCGAGUGCCGGAGGGGAGAGUGGAAUUCCUGGUGUAGCGGUGAAAUGCGUAGAUAUCGGAAGGAACAUCAGUGGCGAAAGCGACUUCCUGGACCAAUACUGACGCUGAUGCGCGAAAGCGUGGGGAGCGAUCCGG
This 253-nucleotide ribosomal RNA is filed under the name uncultured bacterium. Its description in RNAcentral is "partial 16S ribosomal RNA". It matches the Rfam family "Bacterial small subunit ribosomal RNA", at positions 524 to 776 of the family's 1533-position model. The record is from RNAcentral.